GAUGAACGCUAGCUACAGGCUUAACACAUGCAAGUCGAGGGGAAACGAUGAGAGAGCUUGCUCUCUUAGUCGUCGACCGGCGCACGGGUGAGUAACGCGUAUCCAACCUGCCUCUGACCAAGGGAUAACCCGUCGAAAGUCGGACUAAUACCUUAUGCAGUCGUCGGAAGUCAUCUGAUGACGACGAAAGAUUUCAUCGGUGAGAGAUGGGGAUGCGUCUGACUAGCUUGUUGGCGGGGUAACGGCCCACCAAGGCGACGAUCAGUAGGGGUUCUGAGAGGAAGGUCCCCCACAUUGGAACUGAGACACGGUCCAAACUCCUACGGGAGGCAGCAGUGAGGAAUAUUGGUCAAUGGGCGUAAGCCUGAACCAGCCAAGUAGCGUGCAGGAUGACGGCCCUAUGGGUUGUAAACUGCUUUUAUGCGGGGAUAAAGUGAGGGACGUGUCCUUCAUUGCAGGUACCGCAUGAAUAAGGACCGGCUAAUUCCGUG
This 491-nucleotide ribosomal RNA is filed under the name uncultured bacterium. Its description in RNAcentral is "partial 16S ribosomal RNA". It matches the Rfam family "Bacterial small subunit ribosomal RNA", at positions 28 to 507 of the family's 1533-position model. The record is from RNAcentral.